This 64-nucleotide transfer RNA is filed under the name Varuna litterata. RNAcentral describes it as "tRNA-Tyr". It matches the Rfam family "tRNA". Rfam says of the family: Transfer RNA (tRNA) molecules are approximately 80 nucleotides in length. Their secondary structure includes four short double-helical elements and three loops (D, anti-codon, and T loops). The record is from RNAcentral. RNAcentral also lists the same sequence under 1 other name. Lineage: Eukaryota; Metazoa; Arthropoda; Malacostraca; Decapoda; Varunidae.
AAUAAAGUGGCUGAGGUAUAAGCGGUAGAUUGUAAAUCUAUGAACGAAUAAUUAUUCCUUUAUU